UGGAGGAAUGUUUAAACGACACAGACUACAAUGAACUGAUGGAGAUAGCAGAGAAUGGCCUCCCAAAGAUAACCACACCUUAUCGUGUUGUUAUUGUUGGGGCCGGCAUGGCUGGACUCACUGCUGCCAAGCUGCUGCAAGAAGCUGGACAUGAGGUAACCAUAUUGGAGGCAAGUGAGCGAGUAGGACGGGUGUUGACCCAUAGGAAUGAAACAGAGGGUUGGUAUGUUGAAUUAGGGGCCAUGAGGAUUCCAUCUUUUCAUCAAGCCUAGGGUCACCAUGUAAAAACCUCGUUCAUCCAGCAACUGAACAUCUCAUUGAAUCACUUCAACAUGACUGACAACAACACCUAUUACCUGGUGAAUGGGAAGAAACACAAGACUUCAGAUGUGACUAAAGACCCCAGCAUCCUGGAUUACCACCUACCAUCUAAUGAGAGGAAUAAAUCAGCCCAUGAUCUGCUUCAGGAGGCAUUACAGGAGGUUCCAGACCUGUUUGAUCCAGUCUCGAGUUCUGGUGUUAAGCAAACUCCUGACUUCUGGAUCUAGGCACCUUCGAUGCUCCUGGACUUUCAAGAUUCAAGUCUCAAGUUUCCUUCUUGGAUUAACUCCUGGCUGGCAGCUUCAGGAUCGACAACUAACCGGCCCAAGUCAGCAGCAAACCCUGUCCAAUAAUCUCGCUGUGGAUGGUGCAGAUGACGGCAUUCUGCUAAUGGCAGACAGCUUGCAUCUGGAGAGAAGGCUUGAUAUAGGCCUUGCAGUCAACAUUCUUCAGUACUGUGACAAUGUUUAGGGAAGGCCUGAACCCAAAGACCCAAAUACAAUUUCAAAAUUGUCUAUCUGUGGAGGUUAGGGUUAGAGUUUGGGUAUGAUUUGUCAAAGGAAUUAAACCCAUACAUUCAUCCAGAUUUUCAGAAUGUGGCCUGGAGACGUUGUGCAUGAGUUACUUCUCUCACAAUGUUACUAAGUUCUAACUGGAGAUAUGAACAACCUUUCCCUAUAAUUUGCACUACUGCUCCCCAUAAAUACUAAAAUGUUUGUAACCCAGUGUUUCAUUUUAUUUCAUUAAUGCUGACAUCUACCAAGGCUGAAAUCCCUUUAUUUUAUGCAUGGUCCAACCCAUGCAUUAAUUUAGCAAAUGGUUCAAAAAUGUUUUAGCAGUCAGGAUCACAUCACAUAGAAUACAUUAAAUUAAACAUAGCUAAUUACAUCAGCUAGAUUUUAUUUUAAAAUGUCAAAUUUCUAAUACUGAGUCAUUUUGGUAGUUAUCUGUCACUGCUAGUUUGGCCAUUUCCUUCUUCCUAAUAGACUGGACACACAAGGGACACAUCCCCCAGGAGGUGUUCCAAUGCCCUGAUUGAUUUAUUUUGCUUUGAUAAUCAUCAGGAUCCUGUUUAAAGAUAAGUGCACAGAAUUCAAAGAGAUUUCAAAUAAAUCCAUGGAUACAGAUUUUCUGCUGCUUUGCCAAUUGGGGGUUUUCAUUGAUGUCACUGAAGUCGCAGCCUCACUUCCAGUCCACCAUCUUGGGUGUUUUGUGGUCAUCAACAAGGUGGAUCCAUAUUUUAGUUCGUUUAGCGCAAAUCCGGACGAUGGGCUGCACAUAAUUUUUAGUAUGCAACUGUUUUUCAUAGCCACAACAUAGGCUAAAGUCCAUGGUAAGUUCAAUAUUGCCGUUUAUAGGUUAAUUACAUAAUACGGUAUAUAUUACUAGAUAAUACAUUUACAGUAUAACACUAAAGGUAAAAUGCAGUCUACAUUGUCAGCACCUGAAGUCUUGAUAACUCUUGAUCUGUGGGAGCUUCUGGAAGCAGGAACUCAGGUGUGUUUGCUAGUCAAACGCCUGACCAUCACUAUGCCACCUUCCAGUACCUAAGAUGUUUAUUCAAACUCAGCGUUUACGUCUUCCUCCGGGGUCCGAGCGCCAAAGAGAUAAUCUUUCAUUAAUAAACUCUCUAACUGUCAUCUUGUUGUUUCUCUAUUAUGUGAGUUUUUCCAGAUUGAAAUACCUGCUGUGCAAAGUCAACAAUGUAGUGCAUCCUGAUCUUCUUACUUGAAGGUGGGGAGGUACCGAUGGACAAUUGAUAGUCGUUGCAGUUCUUUUUACAGACAGCAUUCAUCUCGUUGUAGACGUUCCUCUCUUUUUGAACAAGCUGAAGAUGAUCCUGUUGCUUUUUGAUUUCUGCAGUCUUCCUCUCCUCUGGAAGGUUUGAGCUUCUUAUAAGCUGAUCAUUAUUCUGUUGGCAUAGC
Molecule: long non-coding RNA, 2246 nt
Organism: Girardinichthys multiradiatus
Lineage: Eukaryota; Metazoa; Chordata; Actinopteri; Cyprinodontiformes; Goodeidae
Exons: 4
Source: RefSeq, a predicted model, not a curated record